Treponema succinifaciens DSM 2489 is the source of this 72-nucleotide transfer RNA. It matches the Rfam family "tRNA". From Rfam's summary of the family: Transfer RNA (tRNA) molecules are approximately 80 nucleotides in length. Lineage: Bacteria; Pseudomonadati; Spirochaetota; Spirochaetia; Treponematales; Treponemataceae. The record is from Rfam.
GGCGUCAUACCCAAGUGGUAAGGGACUGGUCUGCAAAACCACUAUGCAUCGGUUCGAUUCCGAUUGACGCCU